CCCAAAAGGCCACGCAGGGCGCCAUGGCAACCGCGAGGCCACGGAGCCCUGGGAGAAAGGGGCCUGUGUUAACACCGGCACAGCCUCCCCAGUAGGGCUGGGGGCUUGUUAACCAGCUUACCAGGCGGCGCCCGGCCCAUUGACAUGGAAAUCCAGACCUGCCAUCCGUCAGCCCUGAAAAGGCCUGUCGGACCCUGAAAAGAGCCAGUGGAGGAGGAGGGGGCCCACUGGACUGCAGUGUUCUGCCCGAAUGGACAGACAGACGAAUGGACAGCUGGGAGGAAUGGAUGGAAAAGCUAUGCCUGGCUGGCUGGACAGAGGGGAAAACAAUAUACAGACACUGGGAGCUCUGCAAGGGCACGGACCAUGUCUGCCUAUCUGCCUGUGAACCCGCUCAGGACCUGCCACAUGACCGGUGCACAACAAACACGCGCUGAGCAAGCAGAUGAGCAGCGGGUUGCUUCCCUCUCGGCAGAGGCACAAGUGGCAGGCACCCAGAGUGGCGCUAAGCGUGACAGCCAUCAUAGCCAUGAUGAGCCGAGCUCCCCAAUCAGUCCCCCACCUCCCUGCCCUGGGCAGGGGGCCUCCAUCCACAUGGAGCCAGAGAAGGGGCCCCGUGGGUCGGGCUCAGACCCGCCUCCUCCCUACUGACCCCAGAGGGAACUGGGCAGCUCCUGGCACACAGCAGGGCCUCCAUGAAUGGCCUGGGGUUAAAAUGACCUCGGCCCGAGUGAGAGGGCAUUCAGAGGAUGGAGAGAGCCAGGAGCGGUUUCUGGAGCCAGAGCUGAGCUGUGAGUGUGUGGUGGCCGGGCAUAGCUGGCUGGGGAUUCCAGAGGGCUAGGCGAGGGAGCACCAGGGAGUGGGGGACCCUGCUAUGGUCUCCCUGGAGCCCUGGGGUCCUGGUCAGCCCCAAAUCAGCCCU
Molecule: long non-coding RNA, 922 nt
Organism: Canis lupus familiaris (dog)
Lineage: Eukaryota; Metazoa; Chordata; Mammalia; Carnivora; Canidae
Exons: 3
Source: RefSeq, a predicted model, not a curated record